RNAcentral lists this long non-coding RNA (417 nucleotides) under Musa acuminata (dwarf banana). Its description in RNAcentral is "long non-coding RNA (MACU_LNC002492)". Lineage: Eukaryota; Viridiplantae; Streptophyta; Magnoliopsida; Zingiberales; Musaceae. The record is from RNAcentral.
GAGUAUUCUCGAAUGGUGGUGAAUGUAAAUAUAUUUUGCUUCAUCUUCUCUGCUAGAUUUCACUGUAUCCAUAGCUUCAGUAACUUAUUACAUGUUCCCAACUUUAGAAGCCGACAUUACCACAUCACUCGAUGCUGCUUCAUCUUCCUUCAAAUCGCCAAGUGUCCUAUAAAUGAAAGCCCAUGAUUCACAAGUAUGUAUGUCCUUUCUCUCCUCGUGCCUCGACUAUAAGAAUAUGCCAUUAAAACUAUCUACCUUCUUCGAUGUUUUGUUCUUCAUCAAGUAUCUACAAUUUACUUUUAUCUUUGGUGAACAGAUAUGUAUUGCUAUACCUUUCUCUGUUGGUUUGCUAGUCCGGGAUUGGAUUUGGUUCUGCGAUCAUGCAGCAAGUGGAGUAUGAGGAACACAUGCUGUAAC